AUGCUCGCUUCAGCAGCACAUGUAUUAAAAUUGGAACGAUACAGAGAAGACUAGCAGGGUCCCUGCAUAAGGAUGACAGGCAAAUUUGUAGAAGCGUUCCAUAUAUAU
This 108-nucleotide small nuclear RNA is filed under the name Macaca fascicularis (crab-eating macaque). Lineage: Eukaryota; Metazoa; Chordata; Mammalia; Primates; Cercopithecidae. The record is from RNAcentral.